RNAcentral lists this ribosomal RNA (253 nucleotides) under uncultured bacterium. RNAcentral's name for it is "partial 16S ribosomal RNA". It matches the Rfam family "Bacterial small subunit ribosomal RNA", at positions 524 to 776 of the family's 1533-position model. The record is from RNAcentral.
UACGUAGGGGGCAAGCGUUGUCCGGAAUCAUUGGGCGUAAAGAGCGUGUAGGCGGCCCGGUAAGUCCGCUGUGAAAGUCCAGGGCUCAACCCUGGGAUGCCGGUGGAUACUGUCGGGCUCGAGUCCGGAAGAGGAGUGUGGAAUUCCUGGUGUAGCGGUGAAAUGCGCAGAUAUCAGGAGGAACACCCAUGGCGAAGGCAGCAAACUGGGCAUCAACUGACGCUGAGGCGCGAAAGCGUGGGGAGCAAACAGG